RNAcentral lists this ribosomal RNA (513 nucleotides) under uncultured bacterium. RNAcentral's name for it is "bacterial SSU rRNA". It matches the Rfam family "Bacterial small subunit ribosomal RNA", at positions 30 to 530 of the family's 1533-position model. The record is from RNAcentral.
AGCGAACGUUAGCGGCGGGCUUAACACAUGCAAGUCGAGCGAGAAAGGGGCUUCGGCCCUGAGUACAGCGGCGGACGGGUGAAUAACACGUAGGUAACCUUCCUUCCAGCGGGGGACAACGGUCCGAAAGGACCGCUAAUACCGCAUACGUUCCCUGGGACCCUGGUCCCGGGGAGGAAAGCUCCGCAAGGGGCACUGGAUGAGGGGCCUGCGUAGCAUCAGCUAGUUGGUGGGGUAAUGGCCUACCAAGGCUAAGACGCUUAGCUGGUCUGAGAGGAUGAUCAGCCACACUGGGACUGAGACACGGCCCAGACUCCUACGGGAGGCAGCAGUGGGGAAUAUUGGACAAUGGGCGCAAGCCUGAUCCAGCCACGCCGCGUGAGUGAUGAAGGCCUUCGGGUCGUAAAGCUCUGUGGGGAGGGACGAAUGGCGCCGUGAAGAGCGGCGAGUGACGGUACCUCCCUUAGCAAGCACCGGCGUAACCUUCGUGCCAGCAGCCGCGGUAAUGUAGUC